UACAGAGGAGCCAAGCGUUGUCCGGAUUGACUGGGCGUAAAGGGUGCGUAGGCGGCGCGGUAAGUCGGGUGUGAAAUCUCGGAGCUUAACUCCGAAACUGCAUUCGAUACUGCCGUGCUUGAGGACUGGAGAGGAGACUGGAAUUUACGGUGUAGCGGUGAAAUGCGUAGAUAUCGUAAGGAAGACCAGUGGCGAAGGCGGGUCUCUGGACAGUUCCUGACGCUGAGGCACGAAGGCCAGGGGAGCAAACGGG
RNAcentral lists this ribosomal RNA (253 nucleotides) under uncultured bacterium. Its description in RNAcentral is "partial 16S ribosomal RNA". It matches the Rfam family "Bacterial small subunit ribosomal RNA", at positions 524 to 776 of the family's 1533-position model. The record is from RNAcentral.